RNAcentral lists this ribosomal RNA (480 nucleotides) under uncultured bacterium. RNAcentral's name for it is "partial 16S ribosomal RNA". It matches the Rfam family "Bacterial small subunit ribosomal RNA", at positions 29 to 507 of the family's 1533-position model. The record is from RNAcentral.
ACGAACGUUGGCGGCGUGCUUAAUACAUGCAAGUCAACUGAAGCAGUGGUAGCAAUAUCGCUGUGGAGGUGGCGCACGGGUGAGUAACACGUAGGUAAUCUGCCUUCAGGUCUGGCAUAACUCCGGGAAACCGGGGCUAAUAGCAGAUGAUGCAGCGGCUCGACAUCGAGACAGUUGUUAAAGCUAUGGCGCCUGAAGAUGAGCCUGCGUCUGAUUAGCUAGUUGGCGGGGUAACGGCCCACCAAGGCAACGACCAGUAGCUGGUCUGAGAGGAUGAUCAGCCACACUGGAACUGAGACACGGCCCAGACUCCUACGGGAGGCAGCAGUAAGGAAUAUUGCUCAAUGGGAGAAAUCCUGAAGCAGCAACGCCGCGUGAGGGACGAAGGGCUUUUGCUUGUAAACCUCUGUAGUGAGAGAAAAAAAUCCCAAUCUUUGGGACAUGAUGGUAUCUCAAAAGUAAGCCCCGGCUAACUACGUG